GACGAACGCUGGCGGCGUGCUUAACACAUGCAAGUCGAACGGUAAGGCCCUUCGGGGUACACGAGUGGCGAACGGGUGAGUAACGCGUGAGUAACCUGCCCUUCACUCUGGGAUAACAGUUGGAAACGGCUGCUAAUACCGGAUAUUCAGCUCCUGUCGCAUGGGGGGGGUUGGAAAGUUUUGGUGGUGGAGGAUGGGCUCGCGUCCUAUCAGCUUGUUGGUGGGGUGAUGGCCUACCAAGGCGUCGACGGGUAGCCGGCCUGAGAGGGCGACCGGCCACAUUGGGACUGAGAUACGGCCCAAACUCCUACGGGAGGCAGCAGUGGGGAAUAUUGCACAAUGGGCGGAAGCCUGAUGCAGCAACGCCGCGUGCGGGAUGACGGCCUUCGGGUUGUAAACCGCUUUCAGCAGGGACGAAGCGCAAGUGACGGUACCUGCAGAAGAAGCACCGGCUAACUACGUG
RNAcentral lists this ribosomal RNA (463 nucleotides) under uncultured bacterium. Its description in RNAcentral is "partial 16S ribosomal RNA". It matches the Rfam family "Bacterial small subunit ribosomal RNA", at positions 28 to 507 of the family's 1533-position model. The record is from RNAcentral.